GAUCUGAGGUCGCCGCCGCCACGAGGUAGAGAGGUGACGGCAACUGCGACGACGGGCGAAUUCCUUCUCCACGCUUCCACCUCUCUCACAGCAAUUCCUGGCGAACUCUAUCGUCUUCGGCGGCAGAUGGUUAUAGGCAGGAGACUAAGACGGUACAUGGCGCGACAAUGACCUUGGCGGACCUCCAGCGGUGGUGUGGCCUACCUCUACAACACUCUUUACCUUCCCUUACAGGUGCGAGGAGAAGAAAACUGUGCUUGGUCGAUGCCAUCGAGCCACGAGUGCAGCAGAGGCAGCUGCUCGUUUUUUCAGAAAAGAAUGUGUGAGACGGCGGGGCGACACGGGGCGACGCGGGCGAUCCAGUUGUACGCUUCCAUCAAGAUAUGAUUGCAUCCUCACUGGUCAGUGAGCGAUUGUCGUUGAAGUGAUAUCCUUCCCCACAGUCCACCAAAUAGAUCUAAAAGUUCAGAUUCGUUUCUUCCGUUAAAAAAGUUCAGAUUCCUUCAUAUUCAUGAUGUUCAGUUAAUCUGUUGUUAAAAUUAUACUUCAACAUAAAUUAAGAUGAUGGUGAAUAAAAGUACCUCCCUCCCUACUUUUUCUUGGUUCUACUUCUCUUUGCUAAGCAGGGUUUUCAGUCACAUAUUAACUCCUGUCGUUUGUCCUGAUAAGAUAUAUAAGGGCUCAGCUGUGGCCAGCAUAAUGCAGUGGUACGGUAGUAC
This 719-nucleotide long non-coding RNA is filed under the name Hordeum vulgare. Its description in RNAcentral is "long non-coding RNA (HVUL_LNC017032)". Lineage: Eukaryota; Viridiplantae; Streptophyta; Magnoliopsida; Poales; Poaceae. The record is from RNAcentral.